Small nucleolar RNA from Grammomys surdaster, 138 nucleotides. RefSeq annotates it as small nucleolar RNA SNORA48. The record is from RefSeq and is a predicted model, not a curated record. The transcript has a single exon. NCBI's taxonomy places the organism in Eukaryota, Metazoa, Chordata, Mammalia, Rodentia, Muridae.
CUUCCCUGGCAGUGGGCCAAGAGACACCUUGUUGGUGAUGUUCUUUCAGUCAGGGGCAGAGCAGUUGGCAGUCCUCUGUUCAUCCUAACCUGAUGCCUGGUUUGGUGGCCAAAGCUGUCUUAUGCCUAGGACUAAUCA